This 253-nucleotide ribosomal RNA is filed under the name uncultured bacterium. RNAcentral's name for it is "partial 16S ribosomal RNA". It matches the Rfam family "Bacterial small subunit ribosomal RNA", at positions 524 to 776 of the family's 1533-position model. The record is from RNAcentral.
GACGUAGGGCGCAAGCGUUGUCCGGAAUCACUGGGCGUAAAGGGCGCGUAGGCGGCUCGGUAAGUAGGGUGUGAAAUCCUGCGGCUUAACCGCAGGGCUGCCUUCUAAACUGUCGAGCUUGAGCACGGUAGAGGCAGAUGGAAUUCCCGGUGUAGCGGUGGAAUGCGUAGAGAUCGGGAAGAACAUCAGUGGCGAAGGCGGUCUGCUGGGCCGUUGCUGACGCUGAGGCGCGACAGCGUGGGGAGCGAACAGG